AGGGACGGGACGCGGUGCAGUGUU
Molecule: non-coding RNA, 24 nt
Filed under: Sphenodon punctatus (tuatara)
Lineage: Eukaryota; Metazoa; Chordata; Lepidosauria; Sphenodontia; Sphenodontidae
Also listed under: 15 other names
Source: RNAcentral